CCUACGGGCGGCUGCAGUGAGGAAUAUUGGUCAAUGGACGCAAGUCUGAACCAGCCAUGCCGCGUGCAGGAAGACGGCUCUAUGAGUUGUAAACUGCUUUUGUACGAGGGUAAACGCAGAUACGCGUAUCUGUCUGAAAGUAACGUACGAAUAAGGAUCGGCUAACUCCGUGCCAGCAGCCGCGGUAAUACGGAGGAUUCAAGCGUUAUCCGGAUUUAUUGGGUUUAAAGGGUGCGUAGGCGGUCGGGUAAGUUAGAGGUGAAAUCCCGAGGCUCAACUUCGGAAUUGCCUCUGAUACUGUUCGGCGAGAGAGUAGUUGAGGUAGGCGGAAUGUAUGGUGUAGCGGUGAAAUGCUUAGAGAUCAUACAGAACACCGAUUGCGAAGGCAGCUUACCAAGCUACUUCUGACGUUGAGGCACGAAAGCGUGGGGAGCAAACAGGAUUAGAUACCCUUGUAGUC
This 460-nucleotide ribosomal RNA is filed under the name uncultured bacterium. RNAcentral's name for it is "partial 16S ribosomal RNA". It matches the Rfam family "Bacterial small subunit ribosomal RNA", at positions 338 to 795 of the family's 1533-position model. The record is from RNAcentral.